RNAcentral lists this ribosomal RNA (253 nucleotides) under uncultured bacterium. RNAcentral's name for it is "partial 16S ribosomal RNA". It matches the Rfam family "Bacterial small subunit ribosomal RNA", at positions 524 to 776 of the family's 1533-position model. The record is from RNAcentral.
UACGAAGGGGGCUAGCGUUGCUCGGAAUUACUGGGCGUAAAGGGCGCGUAGGCGGAUAGUUAAGUCAGAGGUGAAAGCCCAGGGCUCAACCUUGGAAUUGCCUUUGAUACUGGCUAUCUUGAGUUCGGGAGAGGUGAGUGGAAUGCCGAGUGUAGAGGUGAAAUUCGUAGAUAUUCGGCGGAACACCAGUGGCGAAGGCGGCGAUCUGGACAGAUAUUGACGCUGAGGUGCGAAAGCGUGGGGAGCAAACAGG